Molecule: long non-coding RNA, 10941 nt
Filed under: Homo sapiens (human)
Lineage: Eukaryota; Metazoa; Chordata; Mammalia; Primates; Hominidae
Description: non-protein coding lnc-ISCU-1:4
Source: RNAcentral
GAGUCAGGGCCGGACUUGCAGCAGGCCGGAGGCUGGGAGAAUAACACAGAAACACGGAGGGUGCUGGGGCCCAGUUCUUCAGGACUCAAAACACUCUCUGUAGAUGCACAGCACAGGCCCUUUCAGCUGCAACCAAGAGCCUCUCUAGGGAGCUGGACUACAGAUACCACAAGGGCAAGUCCUGCUUAUCUUAUUUCUUCAUCCUAAAUUUGUUCAUUUGACCAACUCUGGCACUCCAGACUGCAUGCCCUGAGGUCUAAAGGCCAGCAAUUCUGGGCUGUGGCCCUCUGGUAGCCCUCCAUCCAAUGGGGAGGCCAGCGAGUAAACAAUUCGGUGGAACAUCAUGCCACAAUGACACAGCGCAGUGAGUGCCAUCCUGCGGUGAGCAAGGGAGGGGCCUCUCCUUCCAUCCUGGGUGGGGGAGGGAGGUUAACAGGAGGAGCUUCCAAGAAGUGGCACUUGAGAUGACAAGCCAGGUGGGCAUCCCAGGCAGAGAGCACAGCAGAGGCAAAGGCUGGGAGGCCUAAGAAUACCCAGACACUUCCAGAAGGGAGGGAAUAGGGGGGUCUCCCAGGAUCUGCCCUGCGGCUUUGCACCAGGCAAGGGCUCAGGACAUGCACAGAAAGAUACUCAUAUCUUGCCUUGCACAAAGUUGUUUUUUUUUUUUUUUUUUGAGAUGGAGUUUCACUCUUUUUGCCCAGGCUGGAGUGCAAUGGCACAAUCUCGGCUCACCGCAACCUCCGCCUCCCGGGUUCAAGCUAUUCUUCUGCCUCAGCCUCCCGAGUAUCUGGGAUUACAGGCAUGUGCCACCACCCCGGCUAAUUUUGUAUUUAUAGUAGAGAUGGGGUUUCUCCACGUUUGUCAGGCUGGUUGGUCUUGAACUCUCGACCUCAGGUGAUCCACCUGCCUCGGCCUCCCAAAGUGCUGGGAUUACAGGCGUGAGCCACCGUGCCCAGCCGCACACAGGUUGUUUUAAAAUGAAAACCAGAGACCCAGCAGGUGUUCGCCAUGACACAGUCUCAGCCACCUUAAGAAGCUGCAGCUGGAAACAGCCAAAAGCUCACCCUGCCGGCACGGACAGGGAAACUGAAGCCACAAGAGGGGAAGUGAGACCCCUAGAACCCAGGCCCCUCACCCUUCCCCAGCAGGUUUGGAAAUAGCCAUCCUUCAGGGACAGGGGACUGAGAAACUCUAAACACACCCAAGACUGCCUGCAGGUCACUCUCUGAUUAGCGGAGGUGAGUGGUUGCAAGCUGUCUGUCACAUCCAGCCUGCCACGUGGUUUUGUGCAGCUUGUGAGCUAAGAAUGGUGGUUACAUUUUUAAGUGGUUGGAAAAUGUUUUGUGAUGCAUAAAAACUGUGCGAAAUUCGAGAUUCCGUUUUCAUAAAGUUUUCUUGGGACACAGCCACACUAAUUGGUGUAAACAUAUUGUCUCUGGCUGCUUUCACGUUGCAGCGGCAGAGUUGAAUAGUUUCAUCACCUGCAAAGCCUCACAACACAAACGCUUAACGUUUCCUGAGCCUGUGGUCAAUGCCAGACCCUGUGGUAGGUGCUUUGCAUACAUCAGCUCAUAUAAUCCUCGAAGCUGCCUUUAGAAAUGAGGAAACUGAAGCUGAGAGGGAGAAUGUGCCUUGCUCAAGGGCACACAGAGUAAUGGCAGAGCCAGGACUCAAGUCCAGGCACAUGAAAUAAUGUUCUUGAUCUUAACCCCUAGCCUGGGAUGGUGCAGGCUGAACGGUGAGCUCCAGCACAUCAGCAAUUACUAUAUGUAAGGAAAAAGGAGUAGCUUAGCAGCAGGUAAGCUAUUUCUUCUGUGUGUGUGUAAUAGGGUCUUGCUCUGUGGCCUAAUCUGGAGUGCAGUGGCGUGGUCAUAGCUCACUGCAGCCUCAAACUCCUGGUCUCAAGCAAGCAAUCCUCCUGCCUCAGCCUCCCCAGUAGCUGUUACAGGAGCACACCACCACGCCCAGCUCCAAGUAAUCUAUUUCAAGGUGAGACUUGAGCAGUGAAAUUUCCUUCUCAGAGGAGCAAAUAUUGCUAAGAUAAAUCUGGUGUAUGUCGUCUGUGUGAAGACCAUAAAACCACACUUCACCGCACCUGACAUCUGUGAGAGUCAAAGACUCAAAGUGAAUAUGUUUCUGCUUCUAGGAAUGAAGCCCAAGAAAAAUACUCCAAGUUGCCUUCCAAGAUUGAAGCAAUGAUAUCUGAGGUGAGAGAAAUAUUGGGAAAAAACACAGACUCCCCUACUACAGAAACCUGUCCCUUGAUGGAAUGUGACGCAGGCAUGAAAGUUAUAUUUAUACUGAAUGCUUAUAAAGCACUCAAGACCUGUUAGGUAGAAAAGAGAGGGCACAGAAGUAUAUAAACAGCAUAAUUCAAGUGUGCUUGCAUGCUGAGAGGACAGACUGAAAGAAAUGCUGACGGUGCCUAUCUCUGGGUGGCAUAAUUAUUAAUGCCCCUUUCCUUUUAAAUAUAUUUUCUUUUCUAUAUUUGUAUAUAGAAAAAAUGUAUAUAAUGAUGUCUAUUUUACUUUUUUUUCUUUUUUUUUUUUUUUUUUUUUUUUUUUUUGAGACAGAGUCUCACUCUGUCGCCCAGGCUGGAGUGCAGUGGCACGAUCUCAGCUCACUGAAACCUCUGCCUCCUGGGUUCAAGUGAUUCUCCUGCCUCGGCCUUCCUAGUAGCUGAGAUUACAGGUGCUCACUACCAUGGCCUGCUAGUUUUUGUAUUUUUAGUAGAGACGGGGUUUUGCCAUGUUGGCCAGGCUAGUCUCAAGCUCCUGGCCUCAAGUGAUCCACCGGCCUCCACCUCCCAAGGUGCUGGGAUUACAGGCAUGAGCCAUCAUGCCUGGUCUACUACUUUGUUUAAUUGUUACAACUGCCUCAUGAGGUAGGUACUAUUAGUAUCCCCAUUUUGUAGAUUAAAAAAAAUGUUCCAGAGAGGUUAAGAAACUCGCCUAAGGUCACAGAGCUAGUAAGUGGCAAAGCCAGAGUCUGAACCUAGGGUGUCCUAUGAAAGAGCCUGCAUUCAAUCACAAUAAAUAUUGGUUCAAUAUAUAAGUGAUUCCAGCUCCUCCUUGCAGACCUUGCCUGCUGUGAUUGGUCUAAGAGGACCCAGUUCUCCCCACCUCCUCGCAACACCGUGUGAGCCUGCUUGGGGUGUGGAGCAGGAAUUGCAAUCAGCAAAGCCAGUGGGUGUUAGGUUCCUCUCUACACUGGAGCCCAGUAGUGGGCUAGCCUAGGAAGCAAGAGCUGUUUAUGGGUCUUCUGAGAAAAAUGUGCUCCUGGUUGUAACUAACUGCCUGCUACUGUUGGAACAGCCCCAUGUUAAAGCAAAAACAUGGCUCAUUGGGCCCCUACUUGGAGCUCUCUUACAAGUGGAUCCUGAGCAACUAGAGAUUUGGUAUUCAAACAAACAACCUAUAACCUCUUUAUACUUAAAUGAUCAUCCGUGCACUAAAUUCAGUCUUCCUUCCAUUCGCUGAUGGAUGAAAAUGCCUGCAGCCUCAUGGUGGUCCCCAGUCCCCAGAGGCAACACCACAGCCUGUACAGCUGCAUGUGUGCAGUGGUCUAUUUAAUUGCGUUUUGCUUCUUUGUUGUUUCGGGGUGGGGAACUGUUCCCACCAGUGACAAGCACAGCUGUAAUAAAGCCUCAUAUUAUAGAGACAAAGAGAGGAAGGCUUGGAGGCUUGGGUGCCAAAAGCCAGCGCAACUUAGCUUCAGCCUGGUAUUUACCAAGCUUAGGUUGGUCAACAGUACAGUUAUUAAAGAAAAUGAAAAAUUAAACAUUUGUGGAAUCCUGAACAUAUGUGGCUAGGCAAGGACUAUAACUGACAGGCCAGGUAUAGCCUGAGAUUUUAUAAUCUAUGUGUAACUUGUCAGGAACUGUUAUCCCUCCCCGACCAGGUGCUGGCUUCCUAUGCAAACCUGUGUCCGCUUCCCUAAAAAUGGGGAAAACAGGGGUGACGUCGCUUAUAGAAUCCCACCUCCCUUGCCAGUGGUCACUGUCCCUCCAAGGAAACUGAGGCUCCCUGGUGGCGCAGGAGGGCACAGGCGGACCGGAGCCCAGCCAGACUGCAAAGCCCAUUAAAAGCCUGUUCCUUCCUCCGAGGAAAGCAAGAGUCUUGCUGGUUGUGCCGCUUGUUUCUCAGGGCAGUGGUCUUUUCAGUUUACUCACAAUGGGACCUUUUGUUCGAAUGAAAGCAACGGUCUCAUGAAAUAGAAUAAGAACAGAGCUGCUCGCAAGCAAGGCCCAGAAGGGAGGAGGGGAAGUCACGCCCAGCUGCCUGCCCUCCCCCGUUCCCCUGCUGCUAGGGGGGCUCACGGGCUACAGCUUGCUGAUUUGAAUCAUCCAAAGGGGAAAUGGUCCACUGUGGGCCUGCUCCAGCCAGGAUUCAAUUCCCUUUCUCAAAUGGGAACAGAGCUCUGGGGAGUUCACUUUCGGCCCCAGAUUUUCGCUGCCAAUCUGGGCGGCACUAGGAACCAGUUUCUGGGCUGGAGACUGCAGCAUGAAGCCAUUCCUCCAGAGUGGAAGAAAACAGGGGCUCCCCAGCUCACUGGGUCUGCUUGGGCUGGGGGUAGCCAGCGCUGCUGGUCCCAGACCUGGAAGGCCAGAGGGCAAACAAAUGUUAGAAAUGUACUCCAGACUCCGUGAUUCUUCCCCAGAGGGUAGUGGCUGAAGGAAUCCAUGCCUCUGGCAGACAUCCUCAAUCACCUGGCCUCAAAGACCCCUGGGAAGGGGUCUUUAGGGGAGAGACCUUGGUGUUGUUUGAGGAGGCCAGGGGCCUGGCAAUAGGAGUCCUGGGAUAUUUUGUGGAAUUUAAGAUCAGAAAUAAAGCUGGACCUUAGGCAUGGACUCGGGGAGCUACAGGGACCCAGAAGCCCUUUCUUCAUCACUGUGUAUCUGCUCUGCCUGCGUGGUCCCUGGCUUCCCCAACUCCCAGGCCCCCAUAAAGGAAAACCCAGAUCUGAUGCCACUGAUGGUGGCUCCAAGGGGCUCAUAGGUCACCUGGAGUUGACUGUGCUCCGGGACAGUCUUAUUCUGUGAGCAAAGUACCGCUGGGCGGAUAAUGCAAUAUGUGCUCCCAUCCCAGAUAAUGUCUACAUUUUCAACUAUUCAGUCUUUCAGUAAGUACUGAUUGGCACAUCAUGCCAGAUUCUGGGGAUCCUGGUGAAGGAAACCAGUGCCUGUCCUCAUGCGGCUUAUAUUCAAUUCAGGGAAGACACUCAAAACUCCAAUGAGAUGAUAGAUCAGCUAUCAGUGCUACUAAGGUGCUACGGGCACUAUUUACAUAUGGGGGUCAGGUGAAGUGCUGGGAAGGGCAGACACUGGAGGUGGGGAAAGGAUGGGCACUCCCGAGAGAACAGCACCUGCGAAGCUCAGGGGUAGAAGGCCUCCUGAACACAAGAGAACAUCAGGAGAGGAUGAGGGGCGGCAGGGCAGGCAACACGGGGCCUCCUAAGCCAGUGGUGAGGAUUUAGUUUUUAUUCUGAGUGGGAUGGGAAACCAUGGAGGGUUUGAAGCCUUAGACACAGGGGUCAAUGAGCUUUUUCUUAAAGGGCUACACAGUAAAUAUUUUAGGCUUUGUGGCCAUACGAUCUCUGUUGCAGCUACUCAACUCUUCAAGUAUAGAGCAAAAGCAGCCACAGACAAGGCACAGUGUGUUCCAAUAAGCUUUACUGAUGGACACUGAAAUUUGAAUUUCAUAUCAUUUUUACUUGUCACUAAAUAUUGUUUUUUCCCCCAACCAUUUAAAAAUGUAAAAAGCCUUCUUAGCUUGUGGGCUACACAGAAGCUUCCGGCAGGUUGGAGUUAGCCCAUGGGCCUUAGCAUGUCUUCCCCCACCUUGAUACCUGAAAAGGUGACUAUGGCUGCAGCUCUGAGAACAGAUUCAAGUGGGUGGGGGAAGCUGGGUUAGGAAGCUGUGACUGUUAACCUUGUCAACUUGACUGGGCAAUGGCGUGCCCAAAUAUCUGGUCACGCGUUACCCUGGGUGUGUCUGUGAGGGUUUUCUGGAUGAAAUGAACAUUUGAAUCUGUGGGUUGAGUAAAGCAGGUUGCUCUCUCUGGUGUGGGUGGGUGGAUCCAUUCAGUUGAGGGCCUGAAUAGAACAAAAAGGCUGAGUAAUAAGGAAUUCCUUGCAGGCGUGUGGCUCAUGCCUGUAAUUCUAGCACUUUGGGAGGCCGAGGUGGGAGGAUCACCUGAGGUCAGGAGUUUAAGACCAGCCUGGCCAACAUGGGGAAACCCCAUCUCUACUAAAAAUACAAAAAUUAGCCAGGCGUGGUGGCGCAUGCCUGUAGUCCCAGCUACUUGGGAGGCUGAGGCAGGAGAACUGCUUGAACCCAGGGGGUGGAGGCUGCAGUUAGCCAAGAUCGUGCCACUGCAUUCCAGCCUGGGCGACAGAGUGAGAGACUCCAUCUCAAAAAAAAAAAAAAAAAAAAAAAGGAAUUACUCCUGCCUGCCUUCAAGCUGGGACAUCAGUUUUUAGCUGCUUUCCAAUCUGAACUGAAAAACUCAGCUCUCCUGGGUCUCUCUGGUUUGUUGACUGCAGAUCUUGGAGCUUAGCAGCCUCCAUAAUCAUGAGUCAAUUCCUUAAAUACAUCCCGAUCUCUCUCUCUCUUCCCCCACGCAGACCCUAUUGGUUCUCUUCUUCUGGAGAACGCUAAUAGAGAGGCUCUGUCCACGCAGAAAUGAUGGGAGCACAGGCUGGGGGAGUCACCGGGCAGGUGUGAGAAGUAGCUGGGAUAUGGAUGCACUGUGAAACCAGAGCCUGGGUGUGGGAUACGCAAGAAGAGAUGGGAGUCAAGGAGGCUCAGAGGUGGAAGAGCAUGAACUUCCUCCUGUAGACAAAAGGGAUAAUCACUUGUGUCUCCUUCAGAGACCUUGACAGAAAACAUCACUCUAGAAGCAAAACAGGGAACAGGCGGUUGGAGGCAGAGAAACCAGCUACAAGGCUGUUCGGACACUAGACUGUUAUCUACAUGGGGAGGCACCUGGCAGGUGGCCAGAUCCCCAGAUGGAAUCUCCACCUUGUGGUUUAUGAGGCAUUCUAGGCCACUGCCUCCUGAAGACACUGCUCAGGGUGGUAAGAACUCAUUUUGCAUUUGGGGAGCUGUAGGUGGGGAUGGUGAUAAGCAGCCCAGGAUUUUGUUCGCCAAGAGGUAUUAUUCCAACUUCCACAACCCAAAUAGCAUCUCUGCACGGAAAUGAAGCUGCAACAGCUCCCUGUCAUGGAUGGGGCACUUCCCAGUUCUCAGACUUCAUCACUAGAGCCCCCAAGCUUGGAUGUUGUUGCUGAACUCCCUCAAGGCACUAAGUGUUAGCCUGAGCACCUCUCCUGGCUGGACCAGGGGUCACUUGCUCCAUUACAGUUCUCUCCAGCUCGGUGACACUCUCACUGUAAAUGCAAGUUCUCACUCAGUGAAUGCCAAGACGAAUGCAACCCUACCUAGUGGGGUAGAGAUUAGGAAAUGGGCGAUGAGAGGCACAGGGCUCUUGGGAAGGGAGCCCUGCUGCUGGGGGCCUGAGAGACACCCAGUGGAGAGGAGCCUGGACAAACUUGGCAACCAGCCCCAACCACGUUCCGCAGCAUUUUGGGGGCCAGGCACCCUGUGUGUGAUCCCUUUCCACUGUAACCAGGCCUGCUCCCUGCUCUUCCCCUCGGAGACACAGAUGACUGCUCCUCUCUGGCAGCCCAAAGCUUUCUCUGCCCCCACAACUGCCUGGGGGCCUUUGAGCCACUUCUCCCCAGUUCUGUUCCAAACCCACCAGGAAGUCCUUCCCCAAAAGUCCACUUACUCUUUGAGAUCAGUGUGAGGAAGCUACUCUAAGAACAAAACUAAGCACCCGGUGGUGAGUGCCCAAGCUCAAGUGUGCAGAUUUUUUCUGACAGCAGAAUAGACCUGUCUACUUGCCUUCCAAGUUGAGUCCUGAAGUGGGUAACUUCCUCCUCUGACUUCUGCCCUCAGGCUCCCUGGGCAACGGCCCUGACGUUGCUUUCUAGCCCCUCACCAUGAAGCCUGUCAGGGAGCCGCGUGCCUCACCCUCUAUCUGCCCCUCACUAAACUCAGGAUCCUAAAAUCUGCCCUCUUACCCAUUUUCGUUCACAUGAAUUAAACUCCAACUACAAUGAAUUUGAAGGAUCCCAUCUGCCUCUCUAAACUCACCCCCCUCCACAUUUCAGCCAAUCCAACCAACUCAGCAGUCACCUUAUCCUCAAGGAUCUUGGGAUGCGCAGUAAUUCCCAUCUCCCACCCAGCCCUCCUGACACUCGCCACAGGGGAACUUUCAGCCGGCACACCACGGCCAGUGUCGCCUAGCGAACACACCCCCCCCCACCCCACACCCCAAAGUUCGAAGUUGAGAAUAAGCCAUUUGCUGGUGGACUCGGUUCCCACAGGAGGGAUGAGGACAGCUGCCAUCUGCACAUCAGCUGCCUAGGACUUAACAUUUCACACGUCACGUUUCAAAUAGAGGCAGCAGCUGCAGCUGAGAUGAAGCAUAUCAAAGUAUACUUAGCCCUUACUAUAUUGGAAGAAAACGUAUUUCCCAGUUCCGAUGACCUUUGUUUUCUGCCAUAUUAAAGUCUUACGUAAUUUAAUUUUUAUAUAGCCAAUCUGUCUUUUCCUUUGUGAUGUAUUCCAUUGCUUUAGGGCUUACAUUUUUUCUAGUCUGAAGUGUAGAUUAAAAGGGACUUACUUUCUUCUAAAUAGAAAAAGAAAAGGUUUUAUUUUAACUGUGGACUCCAUUAAGAAUGUAUAUUGGUGUCCCUGCUGCCCCCACAGCUAACCAAAUGUUGCUGCACCAUUUCAAACAUCUCCACUGAUUUAUGCUUAUCUUAAUAAUUAUUAACUUAUCACUAAUACAUUAAUUUUAAUAAUGCCUUUCUGGGAAUAAAUACAUUUAUAGGAAAUUUCUAAAUUCAGAAAAAUAGGAUUAAAUAGAAAUUACACACAACUUUACCUCCCUAUAGCAAUAACAACAUUUCUGGUAUUUAUUCUACACAUAAGUAUACAUUGUAUAUGCAUAUAUCCUUUAAAAAGUUUGUCACAAGCCAUCUGUUCGGGGUUGGUUUUACAUAUCUGUAUUAGGAAACCUACACCUCUCACUAGAAGUUCUGGUCCUGAAUGUUCUUAUGAGGUCCAAUGGACUUCACUUUCUUCCCCAUUUUACUUCUGAAUGGAUUAGCCAACUAACAUCAUUUACUGCAGAGUGACUCCAUGGGGUAGAGAGCUGAUGAGAAUUACUUUGUAAACACACUUUUUAUGCUGACAUCAGCAACACAGUUCACUGUAGGGCUCUUGGCAUACACAGAAAAAAGUUGGUAGUGACAUCCAGCACCCAGAAAUAAUAUACUUUCAUGUUUCAACCUAGGUAGGUAUAUAUUUUAAACCCAAGUUGGAAUUGACUUUAUUUUACUAUUUUUUUAAUGUUUCCUAUUCAAUACUCUUUUUAAAUGACUUUAAAUAAUGGAACAGAAUUAUAACAUAUGGAUAUGACAAGUAACUUACUGACCCCCUUCUGCAGAGUUGAUUUUACUCUUCUAAUUCCUGAAUAUACCUCCCACUAGUUCCCUGGGACAAAAUUUCCAAAGGUGAGAAUCUUGGGUCUUAAGAAAACCUUUAAGGCUUUUGAUCCACUUGCCAGACUGCCCUCUGGAAAGGCUGUCCACCCCGCACAUACCCGCUUUUCGCAGGAGAGGACUGCCACCCCUACAUUCUUUGGCAAGGGACUUCUUUUUAACGAAUAAAAGAGCACAAAGGGCACUGUCCGGCCUGGACAUCAAGGGUUGCCCGUCUGAAGCAGGAAAGGCGUGCCCUUGACGGUGACUCAUGUCCGUGACCCACUGCCAGCACUGGGAUACUUAAUGUGCCCGCAGAAAGAGAAGGGCCCACUUAGAGUUAACAGAUUCUUAAGAGCCAACAAAGAGUUUUUCUGGGUGUAGAAUACCAAGUACAGCAAGGGAAGUGACCUUGAAAAAAAAAAUGGAAGUUCCCCCCAGACGAGGUCUGGCUGGCUGUCUGGGGCCAGCAUGCUGACCUUCAGGUCUUCUGGCAAAGAAUCAAGGUGGCCCGAGUGAGAAAACAAGUUAGUCAUAAACAGACCACCACGCGUCUCCUGGCUGACUGCGGGCACCUCGGGUCUACAGAGAGCCCUGCCAACUUCUACUUCCUGCAGCCACGAGUGGACCAAGAACAUGGCAGCCAUUCUUCUCAUAGACUAAAGCAACUUUAAGAUAAGGCAUUUGAGGAAGGGGAGCUUUAUGCUGACCAUUCAUCAUAUUCAGAAAAAGCAAACAGUGGGAAAUUCUUUGCUACAAUCACUGAAAUGUCACGAGACAAUGUCAUAGUGCGAAAGGGAAGCCCUGCAAUUCAACUGACCCUGGAAGCCUGCUGGAAUAAAAGUCACAGCUGAGCCAAGAGAAUUUUGCUUCUAUUGAAGAAAAAGUGCUUUCAAAGACUCUGUCAGAAAAUCAACUCAUAAUAGUAACAGUAGCGGCCAUGCAGCGAGGGUUGUUUGUGUGGCCACACAGGUAUUCCUCUCAUCUGAACUACAUGGAAUUAUCAUCCUCCUUUCAAGAAAAGGGACUCAGAAGGAUUAGGAACCCCAUCCCAGGACACACCGCUGGCAAAGGUCUGAGGCAGGAUCCAAAGGCUCAGGUCUGCUGGAAGCCAAAACACAGUGCUUGACUGGCUUGGAGACCUCACUUGUACUUGAACUGAGCCACCCACACGCGCUUCCCCUGUACUUACCCCCGGAGAGGAGUAUGGCACCGUGCUCGUCCACCAAAGUCAGAGAAGCUAUGUCAGGCAGAGAGGUGGGGGCUGCCUCACAGACAGCCAAGGCGUGAAAUAAACACAAACACCAUUUUGUAAUCAAUGAUUUUUAUCUCUGAAAAUGGAAGCAAGUGUUUUGACAGAACACUAUGGCCACUCUAUAAGAGCCGAC